CAAGCAGGGGAGGAAAACACUUGUACUUCUUGCAAUGACUGUGAUAGUAGUCAGGAGGUGCGCGUAGUGGCCACAGUAGCCAAGUGUCAUGUCAUCAAAUAAAGUAAACAAGCGUCGUCUCCUCAAGUCUCAGUGGACAAGCGUGUCAUCAAAUCACAGUAGACAAGCAUCGUGUCAACGGAAUCACAAUGUCAUCAAAUCGAAAAACCAGUCCUGAGGCUGCCAUCCUGGAGACAGAGAGUACAGCGAUGGGUGCACACAGGGUAUAUAAAAGAUGUCCGCAAAAGCAUCAAAGCUGUCAAGUGAGAGAAGGCUCUUUUGCGUCAACAAAGAAGAUGCAGUUGUCAGGUGCAAGCCUUGUCAAGGUGUUGUCAGCAAUCAGAACAGAGACAUGCUCACAUCUCGUGACCCGACUGUCAAGAUCCAGCAGAAUCAUUGCCAGGAUUGAGUGACACGACUGUGAAGAACCAGGGAUACGAAUGCCAAUAUUUAUAUGUUUUACAACUUUGUAGUGACACGAUUGUCAGAACCUAGUGACACGAUUGUCUGGACAGCCACGCAUGCAGUUGUUGGUGUUGUUGUUUACACCACCUUGUCCGCAUAGAGAAGAAAGUCACAUAGCUGAUGUGGUAAAAAAGCCAAGAAGCAAAGGUCAUCUGGACGGUAUGUGGAAUACUUGCCGUGACCUUGCUUCUCCUGCACGUGCUGGCGUCAUCACCAUAUCUUAGCAAGUGGGAUUCCCGUGGAAAAUAACCGUAAUUAUCGAGUAAUAGACGGUUGGCUUGAGUGAAACGACACGCUGCAAUCAGGAUAUGAAGUAAACAAACAAACAAACAAACAAACAAACAAAACAAAAACAAACAAAAACAAACAAACAAACAAAAAAGUUCUUCACUUUAUCAAGUCUUGAUUAAUUUGCACAGAGCAUGAAA
Molecule: long non-coding RNA, 932 nt
Organism: Pomacea canaliculata
Lineage: Eukaryota; Metazoa; Mollusca; Gastropoda; Architaenioglossa; Ampullariidae
Exons: 3
Source: RefSeq, a predicted model, not a curated record